CCCGCUGCAUCUCGCGGGAUCUCGUGAGUACGGCCGGGUCAGGUGCAGUCAUGGAGGCAGAGGAGGCGGAUGUGGAUGUGGAAGGGGAUGUGCUGGCCGCUGCACAGCCGGGAAAUGAUGAAAACACAGCAUCAGUCUUUCAAGAUCACUAUCUUGAUUCAACAUGGGGAAGGGAGAAUGGCUGUCUUCCGUGGACUCUGGAUAGCACCAUCAGUGACGAGAACAGAGCUGUCAUUGAGAAAAUGCUGUUGGAAGAAGAGUAUUAUUUGUCUAAUAAAUCACUUCCAGGAAAAUUCUGGAUUAAUCAAAAGGACGAUGAUAAAAAACACACCAACAGGGUGCAUUCUCCUACAAAACCAGCCAGUUAUUCAGUAAAGUGGACAGUAGAAGAAAAAGAACUCUUUAAACAAGGACUGGCUAAAUUUGGCCGAAGGUGGACCAAAAUCGCAACACUAGUUCAGAGUCGCACAGUUUUACAAGUGAAGACUUACGCCAGACAGUACUUCAAAAAUCAGGUAAAGUGGGGUGUGGAGAAAGGAACGCCAGCUCAGAAGAGCAGCAGUGAUCUUCAGGUGAAAUCCAAAGACGAGAGGACGAAGGGGCGGGCAGCAUCGUGUUUGAGGGGGCGUGCUGAUCCUAACUUGAAUGCUGUAAAAAUUGAAAAGUUAUCUGAUGAUGAAGACGUAGACAUCACAGAUGAACUGGAUGAGCUGACUUCUCAGACACCAGAAAAGAAUUCUGGCAGUCAUCUUACUUUAGACAUUCCUAAUAGUAAAAUUUAUGAAGCCGACCAUGGAGAAUUCAUAUGCUCAGAAGGCCCCUUAGCUAAAUCUUCCCGGGAGUAUCUUCAGAACGUGAAACCAAGUGAAGCAGAAGCAUGUUCAAGCUCAGAAAUUACAUCGUGGGCUAUAAGACAGACCAGUAAUGGCAAAAACUCAGUUGAAUUAAGUGAGAAGAACAAUAGGCUGGCUCAAGGCUACGAUGUGCAAGAUGGGGAAGAAGUAACAGGUGAAGCCAAGCCCUCACCCUCUCCAGAGUCCUGCGAGAGUCGGCAGGUAGAGGACAGCCAUGAGGGAGAAGAGCUUAAGCCACCAGAGCACGAAGUGGAAAUCGAUAGGAAUGUCAUUCAAGAAGAAGAAAAGCAAGCAAUUCCUGAGUUUUUUGAGGGGCGCCAAACUAAAACACCAGAACGCUAUUUGAAAAUUAGAAACUACAUUUUGGAUCAGUGGGAAAUAUGCAAACCGAAAUACUUAAAUAAGACCUCAGUACGUCCUGGCCUGAAGAACUGUGGGGAUGUUAAUUGUAUUGGACGGAUUCAUACAUACCUCGAGUUGAUAGGAGCAAUCAAUUUUGGAUGUGAGCAGGCAAUAUAUAACAGGCCACAGCCGGUCGAUAGAGUACGAGUGAGUGACAGGACAGAUGCAGAAGCGGCCUACCAGCUUGCCUGGCGCCUGCAGUCUAUGCGUACAAGAAGACGUAGGGUCCGAGACCCAUGGGGAAAUUGGUGUGAUGCAAAAGACUUAGAAGGGCAAACAUUUGAGCAUCUCUCUGCAGAAGAGUUGGCAAAAAGAAGAGAAGAGGAAAAGUGCAAACCUGUUAAGUCUUCAAAAGUUUCAAAACUACCAAAAAGCUCACUUGAUCCCUUCCAACUGAUACCUUGUAAUUUUUUCAGUGAAGAAAAGCAGGAGCCAUUUCAGGUGAAAGUAGCUUCAGAGGCACUAUUAAUAAUGGAUUUGCAUGCUCACGUGUCUAUGGCGGAGGUGAUUGGGCUGUUAGGAGGAAGAUACUCAGAGGCUGAGAAGACCCUUGAAGUCUGUGCAGCAGAACCAUGUAACAGUCUGAGCACAGGACUACAAUGCGAGAUGGAUCCUGUGUCACAAACACAGGCUUCAGAAACCUUGGCUCUUAGAGGCUACAGUGUUAUUGGGUGGUACCAUUCGCAUCCUGCCUUUGAUCCGAAUCCAUCUUUACGAGAUAUUGACACACAAGCCAAAUACCAGAGUUACUUCUCCAGAGGAGGAGCAAAGUUCAUUGGGAUGAUUGUUAGUCCAUAUAAUCGAAGUAACUCUUUACCAUACUCCCAGAUUACCUGCUUGGUUAUAAGUGAAGAAGUUAGCCCUGAUGGUGCCUAUCGUUUACCCUACAAAUUUGAAGUCCAGCAGAUGUUAGACGAACCUCAGUGGGAAUCAGUGUUUGAAAAGACAAGAUGGAUAAUUGAGAAGUACAGGCUUUCCCAUAGCAGUGUCCCCAUGGAUAGAAUCUUUCGCCGGGAUUCUGACCUAACUUGUUUGCAGAAACUUUUGGAGUGUCUAAGGAAAACACUAAGCAAAGUAGCCAAUUGCUUCAUCGCUGAGGAAUUCUUGACCCAAAUAGAAAAUUUGUUCCUUUCCAAUUACAAAAGCAAGGAAGACAAUGGACUGGCUGAAGAGAGCAGAACAGCGGAGUUGUUCUUGUAAUAUUUUAAAAGUAUAGCCAAAGAACAAGGCAGCACUGGAUGGAGUAGCCUCACAGUCUGAGGUGGCCUGAAUCUGAUUUGGACAAUUUAAAGAAAUGGAGUUUGUUUUCUCUAGGCCAAGAUGGCCCCUAUGCUGGCCUUGCCAACCUCAGCCUCCUGAAAAUAGUUGGAGCAAAGGCCUGAAAGAAGCACAGAUUUGUCUGGACUCAAGGAGACGUGUAACACAGAAGUUGACGAAGCUCCUAGAGAAAACCCCAUCCCAACAGUGUGUGCAGAAGUGGAGGACCAGAGACACCUGAGACCUUCAUCCCAAGUUCUGCCUCUCUGAAGGACACAACUGUAAAAUAAUGAGCUUAAAAUUUGUGUCUUGUUCUGCCUUGGGUAAGGAAAAUUAAUAAUAGUACGUCUCCUCUGUUAGACUUGGUGUUCUUCAGAAACAGUACUCCAGAAAGCAAAUCAGGCCCUCGGUUAACCUUGCAUUCUUCCCCAGUCCUGUGAGAUGCCCUGGAGCUCCCAUCGCUAGAGUUGGGGUGACCCUGUGCUCACAGCUCAUGAGCUUUUUAGACCCCAAGUACUUUUGCCCACUUGGACCCCUUCUGUAUAAAAUUUAAAUUUAUAUUUUAUUAUUGUGUUUGUAUAAAAUGACAGUAUUCAUAUUUUGAAUUAAAAUAGUCCUUUAUCUAAAACUUAUAUUAUUUUUACUAAAAAAUUAAGUAAAAUUUUGGUUACAUGCCCUGGGAGUCUGAGACGCUGUGCCUAAUGGAUAGUUUGCCCUGUCUGUAUUCAGAGGUCUCGGGGAAAAUGCAGUUAAUGUUCCCUGUCCCUUCCCGCCACCUCUAGGUUAUCUUUGUCACUCUGCCCAGUAGCGCUUUGUUCUUUCCCAUCCUAGCCAGAACUCGGGGCAUUGCUCACUACCAUUCAGUCCUGGGAGAGAGACAGAGACGGGGGCUGUGGUGCGGAGACAGAUAGGUAGACAUUUUUAUCCUGGUUUCUACUUUCACAGCUUGUGCCAUUCUUGACAGGGUGAGGCUCCUUCUUUCUUCCCUUUGAUCUCAAGCCCUUUUAUCCAUCUGUCCUCACAGCUCCUGGGGAUAAGGUCUGUGUAUCUCUUGCUGAACGUGAUACACAGACCCACUCAGAUUUCCCCGCAGUUGUUUCUCCACAGAGCGCUCCUGCUCCCAGACGGGGGUUGGUGAGGGCUGUGACGUGCAAAACACAAGCACCUUCAGACUCUUCUGUUCUCAGGACAAAGAAGAUGGCAGCCUCAGCAUGCCAGCCCGAGCUGUCCUGCUUUUUGGGUUACCUUUCCCCAUAUGUCUCGCUGGGUUUGAGUGCAAUGGAGAAGCCGAUAGAACCAUUUUGCCCAAGAGUGCUGCCCCGUUCUGUGCCAGCAGAAGCCACCUAAUUGCCCUCCUGCCUGUAUGACAUGCCCCGUCAUCAGCAGGCAUCCCAUGUGGAUUUCCUAUCCGUAGUAGAGCUGGCCACCCAGUUUUUCUUCUCUCACCUCUACCACCAAGAUACUUAAUCUGGUGUCACAUGGCAUGAAGGCAGAAUACCUUCACGGAAGCACAAAGAAAAGCACACAUUUUGAUAAACAUACUCUAUCAGCAUUAACAGAUUUAAUAAAUUUGAUCGGUAUCUCCACUUUCCUAUUCUUUAAUAACGCUCUUACAACUUAAUAUAUGUUUUAAUAUGCCCAGAAAAAUCACUGUUAGGAGAAUAAUGUAUUGUACUUAGGUUAUUAUUUCCUGACCUUUCCUGAAGAGGAUUUCUGUGUGCUUUCAUUAACAGGAAUUUCACUUUCUGGUAUUUCUUCUAAGCUACCUCAUUCCCUUAUUGCCCCCACUAAAUCACAAGCAAAUAAAAAUAUCCAAGAGGAACUUAAAGGAUUCUAAAUGAAACUAAACUUUAAAGGUGAAAUUAACCCACAACACCUGGGUGGCUUUUAUUUUCUCCUUCGGUGUUUCUGUCAUAUACUCAUGAGUCCCAGGGAAAAUGCCUGGUUUGUUUUCUCUGAGGUUUCCUAGUAGCUUUCUAGGAAUUCCUUAAAUGUUCUCAUCAUUCAUAUUCCUGUUUCAUAUAUUAUAAAAUCGAGCCCUGUGUGGCAGCACACACCUUUAAUCCCAGAACUCAGAAGUAGAGACAGACCUCUGAGUUUGAGGUCAGCCUGGUCUACAUGAUGAAUUCCAGGAACUACAAUAGGACUACAGAGUAAGAGCCUAUCUUUAAAACAAAACAAGACAAAGAAAAAAACUGUCUGCUUUAGCACGUGAAUUCUGAAAUUGUAGUUGGAUUUUAGCAUGGUGUAUGCAGCUGAGUCAUUUGCCUUUACGUGUGUACAGUGGAGUUGACUUGCACAGUUGUGUUUUGGGUAAGAUACUGCAUGACAGUUUAUGACCUUGCUGUUUUCCCACAAUAUUGGCAGUUUUGGGGAGUUUUUCAUCACUUAGCAUUUUACAGCAUUCUACAACAAUGUAACAAUUUAAAACUUUUGUACAUUUAGAUGUUAUGCUACAUUGUAUAUAUCUACAUUAAGAAUAUUGUAAAUAUCAGUGUUUGUACAAUAAUGGAAGAUUUUCCCUAAAAUAUAAACUCAUCUUUCCAUGUUUACUUGUGACAUAUUAAAAUACCCAAUUUUAAGCUUUGCGAAAUUAUCUUACAAUGAAAGCUAAGGAGAAACGUGCUGCCAAGUCUAUGUAAGUAAAAAUUUGAAAAUAAAACAGGUGGUUUUUGGUGUCUUUGUAAA
RNA transcript from Arvicola amphibius (Eurasian water vole), 5201 nucleotides. It is a transcript of the gene named Myb like, SWIRM and MPN domains 1, with no coding region annotated. The transcript is spliced from 21 exons. Lineage: Eukaryota; Metazoa; Chordata; Mammalia; Rodentia; Cricetidae. The record is from RefSeq and is a predicted model, not a curated record.